UAAAUAUUCCAUCCGUCCGGAAAUACUUGUCGAAGGAAUGGACUUAUCUAGACGUAUUUUAGUGUUAGAUACAUCCAUUUUUAGUCAUUUUUACGACAAGUAUUUCCGGACGGAGGGAGUAUAAG
Molecule: non-coding RNA, 125 nt
Organism: Triticum aestivum (bread wheat)
Lineage: Eukaryota; Viridiplantae; Streptophyta; Magnoliopsida; Poales; Poaceae
Source: Rfam